Molecule: ribosomal RNA, 253 nt
Filed under: uncultured bacterium
Lineage: Bacteria
Description: partial 16S ribosomal RNA
Rfam family: Bacterial small subunit ribosomal RNA
Source: RNAcentral
UACGGGGGGGGCAAGCGUUGUUCGGAAUUACUGGGCGUAAAGGGCUCGUAGGCGGCCAACUAAGUCAUACGUGAAAUCCCUCGGCUUAACCGGGGAACUGCGUCUGAUACUGGAUGGCUUGAGUUCGGGAGAGGGAUGCGGAAUUCCAGGUGUAGCGGUGAAAUGCGUAGAUAUCUGGAGGAACACCGGUGGCGAAGGCGGCAUCCUGGACCGAUACUGACGCUGAGGAGCGAAAGCCAGGGGAGCGAACAGG